UUGCAAACUUUUGAGGUAUGUUUUAUCCAAAAUUUGUUUAUUGGGAUUCAUAUGAUGUGUUUUAGGAGGUAGCCUUAGCAUCUUCAUGGGCUUGUUUAUUGGAGCACUGGACAACCCUCUAAGGGUAUUGGAGAUUGUAAAUCAUGGGAUCAUAAAAUCAUGCAGAAUUCAUAAUUAAAUUCAUAUAUGUAAGGUUGUCAAUAGUGCACAAUCAAUAGACAUCACGGCGCAGAGUUGCUGGUGGCCGCUAUUUGGACUUGGUUGUGGCACUCUUUCAAGUAGCGGCUUUGGUGGUUGGUUGCUAUAUAUAUGCUAAUAUGCAUGAAAAAUAGCAUGUAAGAUGAAAAGAACCCUUUAAAUCACUAAAAACAGUUGUGCAUUGGAGGCUGCAAAGAUGAAAAGCAAAAUGUUGCAGAAAGAGAUAAAAACUUGAGAAUUGUUAAUAUUACUUGUUUUAUAAAUCUGUUCUCUGCCUUCUUUUUUUUACCAUCAGUUUUGUUAAUGUUUUCAAUGCUUCUGUGUGCUUGUAGAUGGUCCAAAAGCUGCAUGUGCUGGUUGUGCGGGAUUUGUGGCGUUCUCCAUCGUAAUAGAGUUGACUUAGACAAAUUUUUUAUUCUUCUAUCAUUGUCUGAGUUCUUGAUGAAAAUAUUUUGCUAGACACACAUGACAUGGAGCAUACAAAUUGCAGCAUUAAUUUCACUCGGAUGAUUUAUUUGUAUACAAUGUCAUUUGCGUAUGCAUUCUCAAAACUGGGGUAAGCUAUGAUGUAAUGACAUGAUUAAGUGACAUUUGAUGUGCUAACUCAGUUGUAACUUGUAAGAGCUUAGCUUUGCACUUCACAGUGCCGAGUUCAGAUCUCCUCGGGGACAGUUGA
RNAcentral lists this long non-coding RNA (874 nucleotides) under Trifolium pratense (red clover). Its description in RNAcentral is "long non-coding RNA (TPRA_LNC006814)". Lineage: Eukaryota; Viridiplantae; Streptophyta; Magnoliopsida; Fabales; Fabaceae. The record is from RNAcentral.